RNAcentral lists this long non-coding RNA (201 nucleotides) under Elaeis guineensis (African oil palm). RNAcentral's name for it is "long non-coding RNA (EGUI_LNC049294)". The record is from RNAcentral. Lineage: Eukaryota; Viridiplantae; Streptophyta; Magnoliopsida; Arecales; Arecaceae.
ACCUCCCACCGACCAGCAACCUUAGCCUCAAGCUGAGGAGACAAUCAACAAUCGACCAACGACAGGAGUAAUCAACAUGAUCUCCGAGCGACCAAAUAACUGGGGGGCAACUUUCGAAGAAGAGUCGGUGAAGAAACGACGACUCGAUAAUAUAAUUACUUUUUUGAAAGAUGAUGUUCGGAGAUUCAAACUUUUCAUGAU